UAGGGAACUGCCAGGCAU
RNAcentral lists this non-coding RNA (18 nucleotides) under Xenopus tropicalis (tropical clawed frog). Lineage: Eukaryota; Metazoa; Chordata; Amphibia; Anura; Pipidae. The record is from RNAcentral. RNAcentral also lists the same sequence under 1 other name.